This 384-nucleotide ribosomal RNA is filed under the name Homonota darwinii (Darwin's marked gecko). Its description in RNAcentral is "partial 12S ribosomal RNA". It matches the Rfam family "Bacterial small subunit ribosomal RNA", at positions 793 to 1373 of the family's 1533-position model. Lineage: Eukaryota; Metazoa; Chordata; Lepidosauria; Squamata; Phyllodactylidae. The record is from RNAcentral.
UACUCAGUUGUAAACCAAGAGGGUUUAACUAUAUCACCCUCUGCCCGAGAAUUACAAGUGAAAAACUUGAAACUCUAAGGACUUGACGGUGCCCCACACCAACCUAGAGGAGCCUGUCCUAUAAUCGAUACUCCACGCUAUACCCCACCCCCCCUCGCCCCACAGCCUAUAUACCGCCGUCGCCAGCCCACCUACUGAUAGCACCAAUAGUCGGCACAACUGCACCCCGCGCAAGCACGUCAGGUCAAGGUGUAGCUUAUGGGGGGGACUGAGAUGGGCUACAUUUGCUGCCCAACAACAAAUAACCAAGGCCAUAUGAAACCGUCGGCUAACAGGCGGAUUUAGCAGUAAACAGGGCAAGGUCUGCCCACUUGAAUCUCGCUC